CCCUUAGAUGUUCUGGGCCGCACGCGCGCUACACUGAUGAAUUCAACGAGCACUAACCUGUGCCGAAAGGUUCGGGUAAUCUUGUGAAAUUUCAUCGUGAUGGGGAUUGAUUAUUGCAAUUUUUAAUCAUAAACGAGGAAUGCCUAGUAAGCGUGAGUCAUCAGCUCACGUUGAUUACGUCCCUGCCCUUUGUACACACCGCCCGUCGCUCCUACCGAUUGGGUGUGCUGGUGAAAUGUUCGGAUCGGCCGUUUGUCGCGGUUUCCGCGGCUCGUGGCUGAGAAGUUCAUUAAACCCUCCCACCUAGAGGAAGGAGAAGUCGUAACA
RNAcentral lists this ribosomal RNA (327 nucleotides) under uncultured eukaryote. RNAcentral describes it as "partial 18S ribosomal RNA". It matches the Rfam family "Eukaryotic small subunit ribosomal RNA", at positions 1470 to 1796 of the family's 1831-position model. The record is from RNAcentral.